RNAcentral lists this ribosomal RNA (551 nucleotides) under uncultured bacterium. RNAcentral's name for it is "partial 16S ribosomal RNA". It matches the Rfam family "Bacterial small subunit ribosomal RNA", at positions 356 to 898 of the family's 1533-position model. The record is from RNAcentral.
AGGGAAUCUUCCACAAUGGACGCAAGUCCGAUGGAGCAACGCCGCGUGAGUGAAGAAGGUUUUCGGACCGUAAAGCUCUGUUGUUGGUGAAGAAGGAUAGAGGUAGUAACUGGCCUUUAUUUGACGGUAAUCAACCAGAAAGUCACGGCUAACUACGUGCCAGCAGCCGCGGUAAUACGUAGGUGGCAAGCGUUGUCCGGAUUUAUUGGGCGUAAAGCGAGCGCAGGCGGAAGAAUAAGUCUGAUGUGAAAGCCCUCGGCUUAACCGAGGAAUUGCAUCGGAAACUGUUUUCUUGAGUGCAGAAGAGGAGAGUAGAACUCCAUGUGUAGCGGUGGAAUGCGUAGAUAUAUGGAAGAAUACCAGUGGCGAAGGCGGCUCUCUGGUCUGCAACUGACGCUGAGGCUCGAAAGCAUGGGUAGCGAACAGGAUUAGAUACCCUGGUAGUCCAUGCCGUAAACGAUGAGUGCUAAGUGUUGGGAGGCUUCCGCCUCUCAGUGCUGCAGCUAACGCAUUAAGCACUCCGCCUGGGGGAGUACGACCGCAAGGUUGAA